Molecule: transfer RNA, 69 nt
Filed under: Ictidomys tridecemlineatus (thirteen-lined ground squirrel)
Lineage: Eukaryota; Metazoa; Chordata; Mammalia; Rodentia; Sciuridae
Description: Spermophilus tridecemlineatus (thirteen-lined ground squirrel) tRNA
Rfam family: tRNA
About the family: Transfer RNA (tRNA) molecules are approximately 80 nucleotides in length. Their secondary structure includes four short double-helical elements and three loops (D, anti-codon, and T loops).
Source: Rfam by way of RNAcentral
GGAGUUGUGGCUCAGUGGUAGAGUGCUUGCCUGACAUGCGUGAAACACUGGAUUUGAUCCUCAGCACCA